UCCAGCUCCUAACCGCGAGUGAUCUGC
Molecule: non-coding RNA, 27 nt
Filed under: Homo sapiens (human)
Lineage: Eukaryota; Metazoa; Chordata; Mammalia; Primates; Hominidae
Source: RNAcentral